RNAcentral lists this ribosomal RNA (305 nucleotides) under uncultured bacterium. RNAcentral's name for it is "bacterial SSU rRNA". It matches the Rfam family "Bacterial small subunit ribosomal RNA", at positions 334 to 653 of the family's 1533-position model. The record is from RNAcentral.
UACGCCUACGGGAGGCAGCAGUGGGGAAUAUUGGGCAAUGGAGGCAACUCUGACCCAGCAACGCCGCGUGAGCGAUGAAGGUCUUCGGAUUGUAAAGCUCUUUAAGCGGGGACGAAGAAAGUGACUGUACCCGCAGAAUAAGCCUCGGCUAACUACGUGCCAGCAGCCGCGGUAAUACGUAGGAGGCAAGCGUUAUCCGGAAUGACUGGGCGUAAAGGGUGCGUAGGUGGUUUGGCAAGUUGGUAGCGUAAUCCCGGGGCUCAACCUCGGUGCUACUACCAAAACUGUUGAACUUGAGUGCAGGG